GGCUCAGGACGAACGCUGGCGGCGUGCUUAACACAUGCAAGUCGAACGGUGAUGUCAGAGCUUGCUCUGGCGGAUCAGUGGCGAACGGGUGAGUAACACGUGAGUAACCUGCCCCCGACUCUGGGAUAACUGCUAGAAAUGGUAGCUAAUACCGGAUAUGACGACUGGCCGCAUGGUCUGGUUGUGGAAAGAAUUUCGGUUGGGGAUGGACUCGCGGCCUAUCAGGUUGUUGGUGAGGUAAUGGCUCACCAAGCCUACGACGGGUAGCCGGCCUGAGAGGGUGACCGGCCACACUGGGACUGAGACACGGCCCAGACUCCUACGGGAGGCAGCAGUGGGGAAUAUUGCACAAUGGGCGCAAGCCUGAUGCAGCAACGCCGCGUGAGGGAUGACGGCCUUCGGGUUGUAAACCUCUUUUAGUAGGGAAGAAGCGAA
RNAcentral lists this ribosomal RNA (435 nucleotides) under Microbacteriaceae bacterium LMG 26813. RNAcentral describes it as "bacterial SSU rRNA". It matches the Rfam family "Bacterial small subunit ribosomal RNA", at positions 21 to 454 of the family's 1533-position model. The record is from RNAcentral. Lineage: Bacteria; Bacillati; Actinomycetota; Actinomycetes; Micrococcales; Microbacteriaceae.